Long non-coding RNA from Monodelphis domestica (gray short-tailed opossum), 1675 nucleotides. NCBI's taxonomy places the organism in Eukaryota, Metazoa, Chordata, Mammalia, Didelphimorphia, Didelphidae. The record is from Ensembl.
CUUGGACAAAGGGUUGUCACCAGUUCUGAAUCUGGCUGUGAUCCCAAAGCAGCGUGUAUGUGAAGGUUGCUCACUUAGUGGAGACAUGUCAUCUGGCAACCUCUACUGCUUGUCCUGUGAGAGUACUGUCAUUCACUUGGCUGUGAUGACUCCUAGAGAUAUGGGUGAUAUCAUUCCAAGGGAGUGAUCCUGCAUCAUUUUUUUUGAACUGGUCAAAGAGGAUGUUCUAUUGGGUAGAGAGAGUGGCCUGUCCUUACAGAGCAUGGACCCAACUGGCAAGAAUAUAGGAGAGAAAAAUGAUUCAAAGACAGUAAGGCUAUCCUUAUACACUGAAUCAAGCAGCAUCUUUUGGACUACCAGAGAUUUUAAUAAGACUGGAAUGAUGAGCCAGGCCCUUGGAAUGAGAUGGAAGUAUUCUACAACCUAGAUCUCACAAGUGGAAUUCAAUCGAAUGGGCCUGGAUCUUCAGAUGAAAAUUGUCCAAAGCAGGUCCAGUGGAGAAGUGGGUCUUCAGUCCUCUGUUCUAGCUGCCAGCAGCCAGUCCAAACAGGAUUCCUCUUUCUUCAACUAGUAUCACCAAAAGCCAGAAACCUGUUGUCAAACCUCCAACCCGAGGUCCUUCAGGAGAGAAGUGCCAAGACUGUUGGGACCUUAGAAUCUUUACCCAGAUCUUGACCCUUAGGCUCCCAUGUGACUGUCACAUGCUCUUGUCAUUUCUUUUUGUACGUUUCCCUUUCUUUGAUCUCUUUGGGGUCAUGGGUCUAAUAGUGUUGCUGUUGGAUUAAAGGAUAUGCACAAUUUAGUAACAUUUUGUGAACACGUCGGGGCUACUUUUCGAAAUGGCUAUAUAUCUAUUCAGUUCUACCAACAAUGCAUUAAUGUGCCUAUGCAAAAUAUAUUAUGUAGGAUACAUAAGAGCCUUUGUCGACUCAGAUUUUUGCCUCUACAUAUUUACCAACUCUGGAUGAUCUUAGAUGCAUGACUUUCAAAGUUUGUCAGGGCUGGGGAGGCUACAAGGUGAAGUCAGUACUAACUGCCAUUCAGAGAGAACGUGGGGUUGGGGAGAAGUACAAGAAUCCUUUCCACAGCACAGUGGGGGUUGGGGUGUGGCAAUCUAGAAAAUCCCACAUAAAAUAUUUUGUCCCGCCCCCCCCCCUUCAUACCAGAGAAGUCUGAAUAUUUUCUUUUUCUUUUAUGGGUUGUUACCUUCUUGUGAAAUCUGGGUUAAGAAUUUGGUCAUAGGCAAUAUAAUUUCUAAGCUUUUUCUGUCAUCCACUGACCUUUGCGUGUCAUCUGGGGCUUCUACCAAACUCCCUGCAAAUUGCCAUUUAGUUGAUUAUGCUGACAUGGAACAUAUCAAAAUCAUGAUGGGGUAGUAGUGAUGUGGAAGGGAUAUCUGCACUUUGUGAAGCAACAGAUAGGUGAACUAGGGGCUAGUGGUCUUAUAUUUGAGAUUUUCUUGCCACAGAUAGAGUGAUUGCCUCAGUCUCCUCAUAUGUAAAAUGAGCUGCAGAAGGAAAUGGUCGAGGGCUAAGUGACUUGUCUGAGGCCACAUUUGAACUCAAGAAAAUGACUCUCCCUGAUUUAAGACCCGGCACUUUAUCUACUAUAUCACCUGGUCUACCCUGACCCCCCCUCCACCCCCUUCCCCCUUCCCAUGGUCUCAUUACAUUUC